AGAAGGGGGACGAGCCUGACCCUCGGCACUGGCGGAAAACGGCUGUGGCUGCUUCGUUCCCGACCUGACCAGGUUGACCGCGCCACCAUGCGAGGAGGCCCGUC
Molecule: non-coding RNA, 104 nt
Filed under: Ralstonia pickettii 12J
Lineage: Bacteria; Pseudomonadati; Pseudomonadota; Betaproteobacteria; Burkholderiales; Burkholderiaceae
Source: RNAcentral